RNAcentral lists this ribosomal RNA (250 nucleotides) under uncultured archaeon. RNAcentral describes it as "partial 16S ribosomal RNA". It matches the Rfam family "Archaeal small subunit ribosomal RNA", at positions 616 to 865 of the family's 1478-position model. The record is from RNAcentral.
UAUGGUAGGGGUAGCGGUAAAAUGUUAUAAUCCCUACUAGACUACCUGUGGCGAAGGCGUCUGACUAGGACGGAUUCGACAGUGAGGGAAGAAAGCCAGGGGAGCGAUCCGGAUUAGAUACCCGAGUAGUCCUGGCUGUAAACGCUGCGAGCAAGGUGUUGCAUAUUCUUCGAGAAUGUGCAGUAUCGAAAUGAAGAUGAUAAGCUCGCCGCCUGGGAAGUAUGGUCGCAAGACUGAAACUUAAAGGAAU